GCAGAGAUCUGUGAGACCUUUACCCGGGAC
This 30-nucleotide non-coding RNA is filed under the name Homo sapiens (human). The record is from RNAcentral. Lineage: Eukaryota; Metazoa; Chordata; Mammalia; Primates; Hominidae.